GACCUCCAAUCAGAUAAGACUACCCGCGAA
This 30-nucleotide ribosomal RNA is filed under the name Poteriospumella sp. RNAcentral describes it as "partial 28S ribosomal RNA". The record is from RNAcentral. Lineage: Eukaryota; Chrysophyceae; Chromulinales; Dinobryaceae.